AUUGAACGCUGGCGGCAGGCUUAACACAUGCAAGUCGAGCGCGCGGCGGACGGGUGAGUAAUGUCUGGGAAACUGCCUGAUGGAGGGGGAUAACUACUGGAAACGGUAGCUAAUACCGCAUACCAUCAGAUGUGCCCAGAUGGGAUUAGCUAGUAGGUGGGGUAAUGGCUCACAUAGGCGACGAUCCCUAGCUGGUCUUAGAGGAUGACCAGCAAAAAGGGAACGGAGAAACGGGCCAAGCUCGUACGGGGGGAAGCAGGGGGGAAUAUUGCACAAUGGGCGCAAGCCUGAUGCAGCCAUGCCGCGUGUGUGAAGAAGGCCUGCGGGUUGUAAAGGACGUUCAGCGAGGAGGCGGUACUCGCAGAAGAAGCACCGGCUAACUACGUGCCAGCAGCCGCGGUAAUUC
Molecule: ribosomal RNA, 406 nt
Filed under: uncultured bacterium
Lineage: Bacteria
Description: partial 16S ribosomal RNA
Rfam family: Bacterial small subunit ribosomal RNA
Source: RNAcentral